GAUGAACGCUGGCGGCGUGCCUAAUACAUGCAAGUCGAGCGAACGGACGAGAAGCUUGCUUCUCUGAUGUUAGCGGCGGACGGGUGAGUAACACGUGGAUAACCUACCUAUAAGACUGGGAUAACUUCGGGAAACCGGAGCUAAUACCGGAUAAUAUUUUGAACCGCAUGGUUCAAAAGUGAAAGACGGUCUUGCUGUCACUUAUAGAUGGAUCCGCGCUGCAUUAGCUAGUUGGUAAGGUAACGGCUUACCAAGGCAACGAUGCAUAGCCGACCUGAGAGGGUGAUCGGACACACUGGAACUGAGACACGGUCCAGACUCCUACGGGAGGCAGCAGUAGGGAAUCUUCCGCAAUGGGCGAAAGCCUGACGGAGCAACGCCGCGUGAGUGAUGAAGGUCUUCGGACCGUAAAACUCUGUUAUUAGGGAAGAACAUAUGUGUAAGUAACUGUGCACAUCUUGACGGUACCUAAUCAGAAAGCCACGGCUAACUACGUG
RNAcentral lists this ribosomal RNA (497 nucleotides) under uncultured bacterium. Its description in RNAcentral is "partial 16S ribosomal RNA". It matches the Rfam family "Bacterial small subunit ribosomal RNA", at positions 28 to 507 of the family's 1533-position model. The record is from RNAcentral.